This is a long non-coding RNA of Carassius carassius (crucian carp), 232 nucleotides long. RefSeq lists it as uncharacterized. Lineage: Eukaryota; Metazoa; Chordata; Actinopteri; Cypriniformes; Cyprinidae. The record is from RefSeq and is a predicted model, not a curated record. The transcript has 3 exons.
GUACUACCAUUUCAUAGUGGAAGCCUCCUCAGGUCUGUGAGGAAAUGAUGUUGUGUGCUCUGGUUCUCUUGACUCUGGUCCCAGUGAUUACAGGUAACCAACCUGGAGUGAAAGUCUCAAUAACUCAAGAGGGACUUGAUUAUGCUGUAACCAAUGGUAUUAAGCAGGUGCUCAAAAAUAUGGAAAAUAAAGAUCAAGCUGGUACAGAAGAGGUUGAGUAUAGUUUUAAAGG